CAAAUUUCUCGUAAGAUUUUGUAGACAUAAUUGUCUCCUUCUGGGAGGUACUAUUGCGGAU
RNAcentral lists this non-coding RNA (61 nucleotides) under Plasmodium falciparum 3D7. The record is from RNAcentral. Lineage: Eukaryota; Apicomplexa; Aconoidasida; Haemosporida; Plasmodiidae.